GGGGGUGUAGCUCACAUGGUAGAGCGAUCGCUUAGCAUGCGAAAGGUCCGGGGUUCAAUUCCCCGCUCCUCCA
Transfer RNA from Macleaya cordata, 73 nucleotides. It matches the Rfam family "tRNA". Rfam says of the family: Transfer RNA (tRNA) molecules are approximately 80 nucleotides in length. Their secondary structure includes four short double-helical elements and three loops (D, anti-codon, and T loops). Further hydrogen bonds mediate the characteristic L-shaped molecular structure. tRNAs have two regions of fundamental functional importance: the anti-codon, which is responsible for specific mRNA codon recognition, and the 3' end, to which the tRNAs corresponding amino acid is attached (by aminoacyl-tRNA synthetases). tRNAs cope with the degeneracy of the genetic code in two manners: having more than one tRNA (with a specific anti-codon) for a particular amino acid; and 'wobble' base-pairing, i.e. permitting non-standard base-pairing at the 3rd anti-codon position. Lineage: Eukaryota; Viridiplantae; Streptophyta; Magnoliopsida; Ranunculales; Papaveraceae. The record is from Rfam.